GAGUAACACGUAAGAACCUGCCCUCUACUCAGGGAUAACUGGUCGAAAGAUCAGCUAAUACCGGAUGGUCCCGAAAGGGUAAAGAUUUAUCGGUAGAGGAGGGGCUUGCGGCCUAUCAGUUUGUUGGUGAGGUAAAAGCUCACCAAGACUAUGACGGGUAGCUGGUGUGAGAGCAUGACCAGCCGCGAUGGAACUGAGACACGGUCCAUACUCCUACGGGAGGCAGCAGUAAGGAAUCUUCCGCAAUGGGCGAAAGCCUGACGGAGCGACACCGCGUGGUGGAUGACGGCCUAUGGGUUGUAAACACCUUUUCUAUGGGAAGAAGAUCUGACGGUACCAUAGGAAUAAGCCCCGGCUAAUUACGUGCCAGCAGCCGCGGUAAUACGUAAGGGGCAAGCGUUACCCGGAAUUAUUGGGCGUAAAGCGUCCGCAGGCGGAAGUAUAAGUCAGUUAUUAAAUACCGGUGCUCAACAUCGGUGCUGUAACCGAAACUGUAUUUCUAGAGGAUGGGAGAGGUAUGUGGAAUUGUGCAAGUA
RNAcentral lists this ribosomal RNA (536 nucleotides) under uncultured bacterium. RNAcentral describes it as "bacterial SSU rRNA". It matches the Rfam family "Bacterial small subunit ribosomal RNA", at positions 108 to 677 of the family's 1533-position model. The record is from RNAcentral.